RNAcentral lists this ribosomal RNA (572 nucleotides) under uncultured bacterium. RNAcentral's name for it is "partial 16S ribosomal RNA". It matches the Rfam family "Bacterial small subunit ribosomal RNA", at positions 355 to 918 of the family's 1533-position model. The record is from RNAcentral.
UGGGGAAUAUUGGACAAUGGGCGCAAGCCUGAUCCAGCAAUGCCGCGUGUGUGAAGAAGGCCUUCGGGUUGUAAAGCACUUUUAUCAGGAGCGAAACGCUGUCGGCUAAUACCCGGCGGAACUGACGGUACCUGGGGAAUAAGCACCGGCUAACUUCGUGCCAGCAGCCGCGGUAAUACGAAGGGUGCAAGCGUUAAUCGGAAUUACUGGGCGUAAAGCGUGCGUAGGCGGUUUCUUAAGUCUGCUGUGAAAUCCCCGGGCUCAACCUGGGAAUGGCAGUGGAUACUGGGAGGCUAGAGUGUGUCAGAGGGUGGUGGAAUUCCCGGUGUAGCGGUGAAAUGCGUAGAGAUCGGGAGGAACAUCAGUGGCGAAGGCGGCCACCUGGGACAACACUGACGCUGAGGCACGAAAGCGUGGAGAGCAAACAGGAUUAGAUACCCUGGUAGUCCACGCCCUAAACGAUGCGAACUGGAUGUUGGUCUCAACUCGGAGAUCAGUGUCGAGGCUAACGCGUUAAGUUCGCCGCCUGGGGAGUACGGUCGCAAGACUGAAACUCAAAUGAAUUGACGGGG